GACGAACGCUGGCGGCGUGCCUAAUACAUGCAAGUUGAGCGCUGAAGGUUGGUACUUGUACCGACUGGAUGAGCAGCGAACGGGUGAGUAACGCGUGGGGAAUCUGCCUUUGAGCGGGGGACAACAUUUGGAAACGAAUGCUAAUACCGCAUAAAAACUUUAAACACAAGUUUUAAGUUUGAAAGAUGCAAUUGCAUCACUCAAAGAUGAUCCCGCGUUGUAUUAGCUAGUUGGUGAGGUAAAGGCUCACCAAGGCGAUGAUACAUAGCCGACCUGAGAGGGUGAUCGGCCACAUUGGGACUGAGACACGGCCCAAACUCCUACGGGAGGCAGCAGUAGGGAAUCUUCGGAAAUGGACGAAAGGCUGACCGAGCAACGCCGCGUGAGUGAAGAAGGUUUUCGGAUCGUAAAACUCUGUUGGUAGAGAAGAACGUUGGUGAGAGUGGAAAGCUCAUCAAGUGACGGUAACUACCCAGAAAGGGACGGCUAACUACGUG
This 497-nucleotide ribosomal RNA is filed under the name uncultured bacterium. RNAcentral's name for it is "partial 16S ribosomal RNA". It matches the Rfam family "Bacterial small subunit ribosomal RNA", at positions 28 to 507 of the family's 1533-position model. The record is from RNAcentral.